CUGUGGUGGGAUCACGAUCAGUAGAAUGGUAGAAUGCUGACGUCACAAAAAUAAUUCUACAAUCGACAAUUUUGGUAUCACGUUAACACGCUUGGGAAAGUAGAAUCGGUGCUCGGCAAUGUUCGGAUAUUCUACUAGCCGUGUUAAAAUAUCGCUUCUUCUUCUUAAAAAUAUUGGUCGCGUUCACCAGAAUAAUCCGAGUGCAAUCCGAUUAAUUUGCGCUGAAACGCUGACAGUUUUUUUACUAGUGAACGACUGACGUUUGACAUUCGAUUGAGAGUGUUCUGUGUUCCAUUUGUUUAUGUUUUUAUUCCAUAGAGGUAUAUAUUAACAUAGAGGGAACCUACCUUCCGCGCUUCCUGACGACAAGAUCUCAUGGACUGGUUUGCUGCAUCUCUUUCUAACACAUUGUAUCGAAAAUCUAUGAUGACAUUCAGUGUGAAUAUAGGCACGGAAGAGGAGGACAACUGUAGCAGCUUUACUAUGCGUAAGAGUGAAACAGCACUAAUCCAAAUAAAAAAGAUGGUGUCGUCACUUCGCUCUGAAUGACACUCUCUCUAUGCUAAUAUAUAACUCUAUGUUUUAUUCUUUGUUUAUAUAAUUUAUAACCUAGACAGUUUUGUUUUUAAAUAAAACUGAAACUGUCUAAACUAAAAUGGAUAAUAUUCUUGAAGAACUUUUGUUUGGGGACGAAAUUAGCAAAUGCCGUUAUACAUUUAGCAGAUGUACCUACCUCAAAUUAUUCCAGAAGGAUGAGAUGAAAUUAAAUAUAUAUAAACCAUAAUUCAAUAUCCAAUUUAGAGAACAUUUUCAUAUGUCCAGAACUACUUUCCAGGAACUAUUUAAUUGUAUUGGUCAUAUCCACCAAUUUGAAAACAGAAUAAUUCUAUUGGAAAAAAUUAAUGUUUAUGAUGUGGAUGCUAAGUAAACCAGAGAAUUUGUUGCUGGGGAUACGUUUGGUUUGCCAAAGAGCUCUGGACAUAAGAUUUUCACCCAAAUAAUAUAGAAUUACAAAAAAUUGGAAAUAACUAAUCUUGAAUAUCAAUGUGUAUAUUGAGUUUAAUUUUAUUGUAAAUAUUCUAUAAUAUAAUUUUAUUGUAAAUAUUGUAUUAACACAUUUGUGGACACAUCUUCAUAUGCAGACAGUAAUUUCCCUUUGUAAGUACAUGCAUAUUAGUCGUAUCUGCGAAUGGGUUAAUUGUAAAUCGUAAUCAAUAAACAUUUUUUGUGAAUCAAUAAAAAACUGGUUUGUUUGAAAAUAAAUGUAGUACAAAUGUG
Long non-coding RNA from Diabrotica virgifera virgifera (western corn rootworm), 1278 nucleotides. RefSeq lists it as uncharacterized. The transcript is spliced from 2 exons. Lineage: Eukaryota; Metazoa; Arthropoda; Insecta; Coleoptera; Chrysomelidae. The record is from RefSeq and is a predicted model, not a curated record.